RNAcentral lists this ribosomal RNA (962 nucleotides) under Staphylococcus pseudintermedius. RNAcentral describes it as "partial 23S ribosomal RNA". It matches the Rfam family "Bacterial large subunit ribosomal RNA", at positions 460 to 1429 of the family's 2925-position model. Lineage: Bacteria; Bacillati; Bacillota; Bacilli; Caryophanales; Staphylococcaceae. The record is from RNAcentral.
CUAAGGCUAAAUACUCUCUAGUGACCGAUAGUGAACCAGUACCGUGAGGGAAAGGUGAAAAGUACCCCGGAAGGGGAGUGAAAGAGAACUUGAAACCGUGUGCUUACAAGUAGUCAGAGCCCGUUAAUGGGUGAUGGCGUGCCUUUUGUAGAAUGAACCGGCGAGUUACGAUCUGAUGCAAGGUUAAGCAGAAAAUGUGGAGCCGUAGCGAAAGCGAGUCUGAAUAGGGCGAAUGAGUAUUUGGUCGUAGACCCGAAACCAGGUGAUCUACCCUUGGUCAGGUUGAAGUUCAGGUAACACUGAAUGGAGGACCGAACCGACUUACGUUGAAAAGUGAGCGGAUGAACUGAGGGUAGCGGAGAAAUUCCAAUCGAACUUGGAGAUAGCUGGUUCUCUCCGAAAUAGCUUUAGGGCUAGCCUCAAGUGAUGAUUAUUGGAGGUAGAGCACUGUUUGGACGAGGGGCCCCUCUCGGGUUACCGAAUUCAGACAAACUCCGAAUGCCAAAUAAUUUAACUUGGGAGUCAGAAUGUGGGUGAUAAGGUCCAUAUUCGAAAGGGAAACAGCCCAGACCACCAGCUAAGGUCCCAAAAUAUAUGUUAAGUGGAAAAGGAUGUGGCGUUGCCCAGACAACUAGGAUGUUGGCUUAGAAGCAGCCAUCAUUUAAAGAGUGCGUAAUAGCUCACUAGUCGAGUGACACUGCGCCGAAAAUGUACCGGGGCUAAACAUAUUACCGAAGCUGUGGAUUGUCCUUUGGACAAUGGUAGGAGAGCGUUCUAAGGGCGUUGAAGCAUGAUCGCAAGGACAUGUGGAGCGCUUAGAAGUGAGAAUGCCGGUGUGAGUAGCGAAAGACGGGUGAGAAUCCCGUCCACCGAUUGACUAAGGUUUCCAGAGGAAGGCUCGUCCGCUCUGGGUUAGUCGGGUCCUAAGCUGAGGCCGACAGGCGUAGGCGAUGGAUAACAGG